RNAcentral lists this ribosomal RNA (442 nucleotides) under uncultured bacterium. Its description in RNAcentral is "partial 16S ribosomal RNA". It matches the Rfam family "Bacterial small subunit ribosomal RNA", at positions 338 to 795 of the family's 1533-position model. The record is from RNAcentral.
CCUACGGGGUGCAGCAGUGGGGGAUAUUGCACAAUGGAGGAAACCCUGAUGCAGCGACGCCGCGUGGGCGAAGAAGUAUUUCGGUAUGUAAAGCCCUAUCAGCAGGGAAGAAGAAAUGACGGUACCUGAAGAAGAAGCCCCGGCUAACUACGUGCCAGCAGCCGCGGUAAUACGUAGGGGGCAAGCGGUAUCCGGCUUUACUGGGGGUAAAGGGGGCGCAGACGGCGAUGCAAGCCAGGAGUGAAAGCCCGGGGCCCAACCCCGGGACUGCUCUUGGAACUGCGUGGCGGGGGUGCAGGAGGGGCAGGCGGAAUUCCUGGGGUAGCGGUGAAAUGCGUAGAUAUCAGGAGGAACCCCGGUGGCGAAGGCGGCCUGCUGGACUGCAACUGACGUUGAGGCCCGAAAGCGUGGGGAGCAAACAGGAUUAGAUACCCUUGUAGUC